GGCCGCGUGGCGUAAUGGAUAACGCGUCUUCCUACGGGGCAGAUUAUUGUAGGUUCGAGCCCUGGUGUGGUCG
Non-coding RNA from Angiostrongylus cantonensis (rat lungworm), 73 nucleotides. The record is from Rfam. NCBI's taxonomy places the organism in Eukaryota, Metazoa, Nematoda, Chromadorea, Rhabditida, Metastrongylidae.